RNAcentral lists this ribosomal RNA (300 nucleotides) under uncultured Thermovibrio sp. RNAcentral's name for it is "partial 16S ribosomal RNA". The stretch from base 52 to 300 matches the Rfam family "Bacterial small subunit ribosomal RNA", at positions 547 to 795 of the family's 1533-position model. Lineage: Bacteria; Pseudomonadati; Aquificota; Aquificia; Desulfurobacteriales; Desulfurobacteriaceae. The record is from RNAcentral.
GCUCACUCCGGGAGCGGGGCCGGGGGAAGUCUGGGGGGGCGUGGGUUGUGCGGAAGUUCUGGGCGUAAAGGGGGGGUAGGCGGGGGGGGAAGUCUGUGGGGGAAUCUCGGGGCUAAACUGGGAGUCGGCCAGUGAUACUCCUCGGCUCGAGCACGGUAGAGGCAGGUGGAAUUCCGGGUGUAGCGGUGGAAUGCGUAGAGAUCCGGAAGAACACCGGUGGCGAAGGCGGCCUGCUGGGCAGUAGCUGACGCUGAGGCGCGACAGCGUGGGGAGCAAACAGGAUUAGAUACCCGAGUAGUC